Molecule: long non-coding RNA, 206 nt
Filed under: Elaeis guineensis (African oil palm)
Lineage: Eukaryota; Viridiplantae; Streptophyta; Magnoliopsida; Arecales; Arecaceae
Description: long non-coding RNA (EGUI_LNC002005)
Source: RNAcentral
CUAGCCGCCUUCCCCUCGACGAGCUCCGCACAAGGGGAAGAGGCCGCGGUCCCAUCAAAAUCCUCUUCUUCUAGGAAAGGUUCUAUCUCGGGCUACUCAUGGCGUCCUGAUGUGUCGCAGUAAUGGUUGGAUGAGUAUGAAUGAAAGCUGAAGGAGCUAGAUCGCCACAUGGAAUAGCUCCAAGCAAACCAUCGGGACCCCACCAA